UCCAGGCCCUACGGGGCGCAGCAGGCGCGAAACCUUUGCAAUGCGGGAAACCGUGAUAAGGGGACCCCGAGUGCCCCUGCCACGCAGGGGCUGUCCGGGUGUGUAAAAAGCACCCGACAGCAAGGGCUGGGCAAGACCGGUGCCAGCCGCCGCGGUAACACCGGCAGCCCGAGUGGUGGCCACUAUUAUUGGGUCUAAAGCGUCCGUAGCCGGCCUAGUAAGUCUCUCGGGAAAUCCGGCGGCUUAACCGUCGGGCGUCCGAGAGAUACUGCUAGGCUUGGGACCGGGAGAGGCCGAGGGUACUCCCGGGGUAGGGGUGAAAUCCUGUAAUCCCGGGAGGACCACCGGUGGCGAAGGCGCUCGGCUGGAACGGGUCCGACGGUGAGGGACGAAGGCCAGGGGAGCGAACCGGAUUAGAUACCCGGGUAGUCCUGGCUGUAAACGAUGCGGGCUAGGUGUCGGGUGAGCUACGGGCUCACCCGGUGCCGGAGGGAAGCCGUGAAGCCCGCCACCUGGGGAGUACGGCCGCAAGGCUGAAACUUAAAGGAAUUGGCGGGGGAGCACCACAACGGGUGGGGCCUGCGGUUUAAUUGGAUUCAACGCCGGG
RNAcentral lists this ribosomal RNA (607 nucleotides) under uncultured archaeon. RNAcentral's name for it is "bacterial SSU rRNA". It matches the Rfam family "Archaeal small subunit ribosomal RNA", at positions 315 to 922 of the family's 1478-position model. The record is from RNAcentral.